GACGAACGCUGGCGGCGUGCUUAACACAUGCAAGUCGAACGGAAAGGCCCUGCUUGCCGGGUACUCGAGUGGCGAACGGGUGAGUAACACGUGGGUGAUCUGCCCUGCACUUCGGGAUAAGCCUGGGAAACUGGGUCUAAUACCGGAUAGGAGCCAUUUUUAGUGUGAUGGUUGGAAAGUUUUUUCGGUGUAGGAUGAGCUCGCGGCCUAUCAGCUUGUUGGUGGGGUAAUGGCCUACCAAGGCGGCGUCGGGUAGCCGGCCUGAGAGGGUGGACGGCCACAUUGGGACUGAGAUACGGCCCAGACUCCUACGGGAGGCAGCAGUGGGGAAGAUUGCACAAUGGGCGCAAGCCUGAUGCAGCGACGCCGCGUGGGGGAUGACGGCCUUCGGGUUGUAAACUCCUUUCGCUAGGGACGAAGCUUUUUGUGACGGUACCUAGAGAAGAAGCACCGGCUAACUACGUG
Molecule: ribosomal RNA, 465 nt
Filed under: uncultured bacterium
Lineage: Bacteria
Description: partial 16S ribosomal RNA
Rfam family: Bacterial small subunit ribosomal RNA
Source: RNAcentral